GGCAGCACAGUGUAGCAAUACCAUGGGUGGCUGAGUGGCGCACGGGUGCGUAACACGUAUGCAAUUUGCCCAUAACUGGGGGAUAGCCCUCCGAAAGGAGGAUUAAUACCCCAUAACCCAGCGAAGUGGCAUCACUUUUCUGGUAAAUCUCCGGAGGUUAUGGAUGAGCAUGCGUCUGAUUAGCUAGUUGGUGAGGUAACGGCUCACCAAGGCAACGAUCAGUAGGGGGUCUGAGAGGAUGAUCCCCCACACGGGUACUGAGACACGGACCCGACUCCUACGGGAGGCAGCAGUAAGGAAUAUUGGACAAUGGAGGCAACUCUGAUCCAGCCAUGCCGCGUGAAGGAUGAAGGCCCUACGGGUUGUAAACUUCUUUUCUCUUAGAAAAAACUACUGGUUUCGUACCGGUACUGAUUGUACAAGAGGAAUAAGCAUCGGCUAACUUCGUGCCAGCAGCCGCGGUAAUACGAAGGAUGCAAGCGUUAUCCGGAUUCACUGGGUUUACACAGGGUGUGCAGGUGGGGUAAUAAGUCAAGUGGUGAAAGCCCCGAUCAAUCGGGGAACUGCCAUAGAUACUGUUAUUCUUGAGUGUAGUUGAGGCGGAUGGACAUAUGACCGUGUAGCGGUGAAAUGCUUAGAUAUGUCCUAGAACACCGAUCGGAAGGCAGUCCGCAAAAUAUUACUGGACCUUGAAACACGAAAUUGGGGGGAUCACACGGAUAAAUACCUGGUA
RNAcentral lists this ribosomal RNA (733 nucleotides) under uncultured bacterium. RNAcentral describes it as "bacterial SSU rRNA". It matches the Rfam family "Bacterial small subunit ribosomal RNA", at positions 65 to 792 of the family's 1533-position model. The record is from RNAcentral.